AUUACAUCAAGUCAGGAUGGCCGAGUGGUCUAAGGCGCCAGACUCAAGUUCUGGUCCUCUAACGAGGGCGUGGGUUCAAAUCCCACUUCUGACAUAAUUUUCACUCCGUUUAUAUUUUUCAGCUCUUGUAUAUCUUUUCUUCUACUAGGGUUGUUCUGCACUUAUUUCUA
RNAcentral lists this transfer RNA (170 nucleotides) under Oryza sativa (Asian cultivated rice). RNAcentral describes it as "partial microRNA MIR449 precursor". The stretch from base 11 to 94 matches the Rfam family "tRNA". Lineage: Eukaryota; Viridiplantae; Streptophyta; Magnoliopsida; Poales; Poaceae. The record is from RNAcentral.